AUGCAGAGCCACCCCAUGGCCCUCAUCUGGAACGUCAACUCCACCACUGCCUACGUCCUUGGCGACGGCUACCUCACAUCGUCUGCUAUGGAAUCCUGCAGAAAGCUGUGGAAGUGGGAGAGAUUCUCCUAUUUUCGUGAGUCUAAAGAUGUGCACCUAGUCAGCUCCUGCAAUGGCCUGAUCUGCCUGUGCGACAACAAGGAGUGGACCGGUGGCGCGGUCACGGUUGUCAAUCCGGCCACCGGUGACACACUGCCUGUCCCGCCGCUGCCGGUCUCUAAAUUGUCCGUCAGGAGCCAUGGGGCAAAGAUAUGGCACGAGGCGUACAACUUUGCGUACCAUCCGACAACGGGGAAGUACAAGGUGGUGCACGUCCCAUGCAAAUGUGAUCCGAUCUUCGUGUUCAAAACCGUGCAGGUGUUCACGCUGGGGGAGAAGACGUGGCGGGACGUGCCGGCCCCUGCCAACGCGAGGUGCAAGCUUGCAGCGGGUAUUGUCAGUAUCGACGGCAUGACGCACUGGGUAAGGACGGGCAGCCGACGGACGGUUGUGUCGUUUGAUCUGGACGCCGAGUGCAUCGUCUCCACCACAGGGCUGCCCCCGCUGCCGGACAGACGUGAGAGCUAG
RNAcentral lists this ribosomal RNA (627 nucleotides) under Triticum aestivum (bread wheat). Its description in RNAcentral is "partial small subunit ribosomal RNA". The record is from RNAcentral. Lineage: Eukaryota; Viridiplantae; Streptophyta; Magnoliopsida; Poales; Poaceae.